RNAcentral lists this ribosomal RNA (722 nucleotides) under uncultured ciliate. RNAcentral's name for it is "SSU rRNA". It matches the Rfam family "Eukaryotic small subunit ribosomal RNA", at positions 3 to 761 of the family's 1831-position model. The record is from RNAcentral. Lineage: Eukaryota; Ciliophora.
CCUGGUUGAUCCAUGCCAGUAGUCAUAUGCUUGUCUCAAAGAUUAAGCCAUGCAUGUGUAAGUAUAAGUAUUGUACAGCGAAACUGCGAAUGGCUCAUUAAAACAGUUAUAAUUUACAUGAUAAUCGAAGUUACAUGGAUAACCGUGACAAAUUACAGCUAAUACAUGCUAUAAGACCUGGUCAAGGGUCGUAAUUAUUAGAUAUCAAACCAAUUCCUUCGGGAGUGUGACGAAUCAUAGUAAUCGAACGAAUCGCAGAAUUCUGCGAUAAAUCAUUCAAGUUUCUGCCCUAUCAGCUUUGGAUGGUAGUGUAUUGGACUACCAUGGCAGUCACGGGUAACGGAGAAUUAGGGUUCGAUUCCGGAGAGGGAGCCUGAGAAACGGCUACCACAUCUACGGAAGGCAGCAGGCGCGAAAAUUGCCCAAUCCUGACACAGGGAGGCAGUGACAAGAAAUAAUCACCCUGGAUAAUUAUCUAGGAGUAUAAUGAGGAUAAUUUACGAACCUUACCGAAAGCAAUUGGAGGGCAAGUCUGGUGCCAGCAGCCGCGGUAAUUCCAGCUCCAAUAGCGUAUAUUAAAGUUGUUGCAGUUAAAAAGCUCGUAGUUGAAAUUCUGAUUGUAAGACUUCUAGUUCUUUGAACGGGAAGAUCUGCAGUCAUCCGCUUGUGAAUAUAAUUCAUCCUUCACCGGUUGACUAUAUGAGCAAGCAUUUUACCUUGAG